UGUCGUCGUAGCCGAGCAGGUAGGCGACCUCGUUCAUGUCGAGGGCGGGAUUGGCGAGGUACUGACGCACCAGUUCCCGCCGGACGUCGGCGA
This 93-nucleotide transfer RNA is filed under the name Methylobacterium aerolatum. Its description in RNAcentral is "tRNA-Met". The record is from RNAcentral. Lineage: Bacteria; Pseudomonadati; Pseudomonadota; Alphaproteobacteria; Hyphomicrobiales; Methylobacteriaceae.